GCUCCAAUAGCGUAUAUUAAAGUUGUUGCAGUUAAAAAGCUCGUAGUUGAAUUUCGGGAUCAAAGAAUCGGUCAUGCCUUGGUAUGUACUGGUUUUAUUGGUUCUCACCUUCUAAAGAACCAUGAUGUCAUUCAUUUGAUGUUAUGGGGAAUUAGGACUGUUACCUUGAAAAAAUUAGAGUGCUUAAAGCAAGCUUACGCUUGAAUACAUUAGCAUGGAAUAAUGAAAUAGGACAUCAGAUUCUAUUUUGUUGGUUUCUAGGAUCGAUGUAAUGAUUAAUAGGGAUAGUUGGGGGCAUUAGUAUUCAAUUGUCAGAGGUGAAAUUCUUGGAUUUAUUGAAGACUAACUACUGCGAAAGCAUUUGCCAAGGAUGUUUUCAUUAAUCAAGAACGAAAGUUAGGGGAUCGAAGACGAUCAGAUACCGUCGUAGUCUUAACC
This 438-nucleotide ribosomal RNA is filed under the name uncultured Glomus. Its description in RNAcentral is "SSU rRNA". It matches the Rfam family "Eukaryotic small subunit ribosomal RNA", at positions 588 to 1031 of the family's 1831-position model. The record is from RNAcentral. Lineage: Eukaryota; Fungi; Glomeromycota; Glomeromycetes; Glomerales; Glomeraceae.